Molecule: ribosomal RNA, 1332 nt
Filed under: Oncocera semirubella
Lineage: Eukaryota; Metazoa; Arthropoda; Insecta; Lepidoptera; Pyralidae
Description: 16S ribosomal RNA
Rfam family: Eukaryotic large subunit ribosomal RNA (bases 1062-1220)
Source: RNAcentral
AAAAAAUUUUUAUAGAGAAUAUAUUUUAUGGGGGUUAAAGUAUAUUUAAUAGAAAAAAUUAAAAAUUUUAUAGAGAAUUAGUAUUGUGAAAGAAAUUUGAAAUAAUUGAAAAUAUAUUAAUUAGAAAGUAAAUUUAAUUUAUUGUAUCUUGUGUAUCAGAGUUUAUUAAUUAAAGAUUAAAUAAAUUAAAAUUCUCGAAUUAAAAAGAGAUAAUUAAUUAUAAAAGUUAUUGUAGCAAAAAUAUUUUUAAUAAUUAAUUUGAAAUGAAAUGUUAAUCGUUUUUUAAGAUAUCUAGUUUUUUUAGAAAAAAAUUUAAUUUUAUAUUUUUUUUUGUAUUUAAUUUAAUUAAUUAAAUUAAAUAAAUAAAAAUAUAAUAUUUUAAGGGAUAAGCUUUAAAAUAAAAAUUUAUAAUAAAAUUUAUUUUAAUAAUUAAAAAUUUUAAAAUUUAUAUUGUUUAAAAAUUAUAAUUUAUUAAAAAUAAUUUUAAUUAAAAUAAAAUUUAAUUUUAUUUAAUUUUUUAUAAAAAUAUAAUUUUUAAUAAAAUAAAAUUAAAAAUAAUGAUAAAAUUAGUAUAUAAUUUAUAAUUAAUAAAUAAAAUAUAUAAAAAUAAAUUUAUUAAAUUAAAUAAAAGGAAUUCGGCAAAAAUUUAUAUUCACUUGUUUAUCAAAAACAUGUCCUUUUGAUUAAUAAUUUAAGGUCUAAUCUGCCCACUGAUAAAUAUUAAAGGGCUGCAGUAUUUUGACUGUACAAAGGUAGCAUAAUCAUUAGUCUCUUAAUUGGUGACUUGUAUGAAUGAUUUGAUGAGAUAUAAACUGUCUCUUAUUUAAUAUAUAGAAUUUAAUUUUUUAAUUAAAAAGUUAAAAUGAAUUUAAAAGACGAGAAGACCCUAUAGAGUUUUAUAUAUUUAUUAAUUUAAAUAAAUUAUUUAUAAUAAUAUUAAAAUUAGUGAAUAUAUUUUAUUGGGGUGAUAAAAAAAUUAAAAUAACUUUUUUUGUAAUUAAUACAUGAAUAAGUGAAUAAUUGAUCCAAAAUUUUUGAUUAUAAGAAAAAAUUACCUUAGGGAUAACAGCGUAAUUUUUUUUUUUAGUUCAAAUAAAAAAAAAAGUUUGCGACCUCGAUGUUGGAUUAAGAUAAAAUUUAAAUGCAAAAGUUUAAAAUUUUGAUCUGUUCGAUCAUUAAAAUCUUACAUGAUCUGAGUUCAAACCGGUGUGAGCCAGGUUGGUUUCUAUCUUUAGAAAAUAAAAAUAUUUUAGUACGAAAGGAUUAAAUAUUUAAAUUAAAUUUUAAAUGUUGAAUAUUAUUAAAAAAAAUAAAAAAUUUAUAAAGAUGAUU